Molecule: ribosomal RNA, 375 nt
Filed under: Seuthes sp.
Lineage: Eukaryota; Metazoa; Arthropoda; Arachnida; Opiliones; Assamiidae
Description: partial large subunit ribosomal RNA
Rfam family: Bacterial large subunit ribosomal RNA
Source: RNAcentral
GCUCUUAGGUUUGUUAAGAGUAGGGCCUGCCCAGUGUUAAACGGCUGCAGUAGCCUGACUGUACAAAGGUAGCAUAAUCACUUGCCCUUUGAUUGGGGGCUGGCAUGAAGGGCACCACCGGGUAGUAAGUUUUGCAACUUGAAUUUAAGUUACCCGUGCAAAUGCGGGUAUAAACCCUAAGGACGAGAAGACCCCAGGAGCUGUGGGAGGCCUUUGGUUGGGGCAACCAAAGCACAAAUCAAACUGCUUAUGAGUUACCCUGGGGAUAACAGCACAAUAGUUAGUUUGAGUACGGAUUGGGCUAAUUGUUUGUGACCUCGAUGUUGAGUUGAAAGGUGCAGGGGCUUUAGUCUGUUCGACUAGUAGAAUUUCACA